AGCCCAAGACGCCUUGCUCGGCCACACCCUCAAGGGAAUUCAGCAGUAAUAAACAUUAAGCCAUAAGUGAAAACUUGACUUAGUUAAGGCUAAAAGGGUCGGUAAAAUUCGUGCCAGCCACCGCGGUUAUACGAAAGACCCUAGUUUACAGGCACGGCGUAAAGGGUGGUUAUGGGUUGGACAAAAUAAAGUCAAAGAUCUUCAAAGCCGUCAUACGCCCACGUAGACACGAAGCCCAAGUACGAAAGUAGCUUUACCAAAUAGUACCCGACUCCACGAAAGCUGGGAAACAAACUGGGAUUAGAUACCCCACUAUGCCCAGCCUUAAACCUAGAUGAAAAUUUACAAAAUCAUCCGCCAGGGGACUACAAGCACAGCUUAAAACCCAAAGGACUUGGCGGUGCCUCAGACCCACCUAGAGGAGCCUGUUCUAGAACCGAUAACCCCCGUUAAACCUCACCACCUCUUGUUAAUACCGCCUAUAUACCGCCGUCGUCAGCUUACCCUGUGAAGGCUCAACAGUAAGCAAAACGGGCUAAACCCAAAACGUCAGGUCGAGGUGUAGCGCACGAGAUGGGAAGAAAUGGGCUACAUUUUCUACCACAGAACACCACGAACAGCGCCCUGAAACAUGACGCCUGAAGGAGGAUUUAGUAGUAAAAAGCAAAUAGAGUGUCCUUUUGAAUUAGGCUCUGAGACGCGCACACACCGCCCGUCACUCUCCCC
Molecule: ribosomal RNA, 726 nt
Filed under: Neoplecostominae gen. 1 sp. FFR-2012
Lineage: Eukaryota; Metazoa; Chordata; Actinopteri; Siluriformes; Loricariidae
Description: partial 12S ribosomal RNA
Rfam family: Bacterial small subunit ribosomal RNA
Source: RNAcentral